RNAcentral lists this RNase P RNA (320 nucleotides) under Chloroflexota bacterium. RNAcentral's name for it is "Chloroflexi bacterium RNase P RNA component class A". It matches the Rfam family "Bacterial RNase P class A". Rfam says of the family: Ribonuclease P (RNase P) is a ubiquitous endoribonuclease, found in archaea, bacteria and eukarya as well as chloroplasts and mitochondria. Lineage: Bacteria; Bacillati; Chloroflexota. RNAcentral also lists the same sequence under 1 other name. The record is from RNAcentral.
GGAGGCGGCCGGACGGCCGCGGGGGAUCGGGCCGCGAGGCAUCGGUCCUUCGAGGAAAGUCCGAGCUCCACAGAGCAGGUUCGCGGGUAACGCCCGUCCGCCGCGAGGCGAGGACCAGCGCCACAGUGACGAUACCCGCGCAAGCGGGAGUGAAACGCGGCAAGCUCGAGCCGGAGCAAGACCGAAUAGGAGGGCGCAAGGCGGCGUUCGCGCCGCAGCAGGCUGCUCGCUCAGCCCUCGGGUAGGUCGCGCAGAUGGAUGGCCGUCACCGGACCGACCCGGUCCGGCACAGAACUCGGCUUACAGGCCGCUCUCCAGGG